Molecule: non-coding RNA, 115 nt
Organism: Triticum aestivum (bread wheat)
Lineage: Eukaryota; Viridiplantae; Streptophyta; Magnoliopsida; Poales; Poaceae
Source: Rfam
CUUAUACUCUCUCCGUUCCGAAUUACUUGUCUUAAAUUUGUCACUAAAAUAAGUCUAGAUACAUCUGUAUCUAGACAAAUCCAAGACAAGUAAUUCGGAACGGAGGGAGUAUCUU